AGGCAAUGCUCUCCCCAGAUCCAUGUGUAGAGAGAGAACCCAACUAGAGAGAGAAAGAGAAGGUUCGGUGGCAGUGGCCACCUGUGGCCGGCGACCCCAGCGGUCGACGGCCCCCAACGUGGUGCCGGCCAUGCACCACGCCCGACGACGGUCGGCCACGCGCCACCCCCGACGACGGCGGUCGAACGGAAGGAGAAACCAACGGCUCGCCGACGGUCGGCAACCGGGGCUUCUUGUCUCCAAAUCCAACGGCUCGCCGGCCGGAUUCAAGAGGAACAAGGAUCCAGAGGAUGAGAAAGGAGGAGGGACGACUCACCUUGCCUCCGGCGAGAUCCUCCCGGCCGGAUCGACGGCGACCGCUUCGAUUCCUCCCGCGGCAAGGUAAAACCCAAUCUCCCUUCUCCCUUUUUUUUUUUUUUUUUGUGGAAGCCUGUCGGCUGAUGCCCUAGGAAGAGAAGGAAGGAGAUCCUCGCUGGUAGGGUUUUAUCGCCCUCUAACCUCCCCUCCGAUGGAUUCGGAAGGAGGGGAGAAGGGUUUGAAAACAGGGGAGGGAGCCAAUCGGGAGUCUCCCUCCCCCAUUUCUCAUGCGUUGGGCCGCCUUGCUUGGAGGCCGGCCCAACCACAUGCGGGCCUUUACAUUCUCCCCCCCUAAAAAAAAAUUUCGUCCUCGAAAUUGACAUACCUGAAGUUUCAAAAUGCUGCGGAUAUUUGACUUUUAUCUCUUCUUUGAGCUUCCAAGUAGCCUCUCUUUCUGUAUGAUUAUUCCAUUGUACCUUUACAAAAGGAAUGGUUCGAUGCCAUGAUACAUGAUCUUUUCUAUCCACAAUUUGUAUCGGAAACUCCUAAUAGGUCACAUCCUCAUGAAGAUGUAAUGGCUCAUAUGCUACCAUAUGACUUGGGUCUGGGACAUAUUUCUUCAACAUUGACACAUGAAAAA
This is a non-coding RNA of Phoenix dactylifera (date palm), 937 nucleotides long. The record is from RefSeq and is a predicted model, not a curated record. Lineage: Eukaryota; Viridiplantae; Streptophyta; Magnoliopsida; Arecales; Arecaceae.